GUGCCUACGGGACGCAGCAGUAGGGAAUCUUCCACAAUGGGCGCAAGCCUGAUGGAGCAACACCGCGUGAGUGAAGAAGGGUUUCGGCUCGUAAAGCUCUGUUGUUGGAGAAGAACGCGCGUGAGAGUAACUGUUCGCGCAGUGACGGUAUCCAACCAGAAAGUCACGGCUAACUACGUGCCAGUAGCCGCGGUAAUAAGGAGGUGGCAAGCGUUAUCCGGGUUUAUUGGGCGUAAAGC
This 239-nucleotide ribosomal RNA is filed under the name uncultured bacterium. Its description in RNAcentral is "partial 16S ribosomal RNA". It matches the Rfam family "Bacterial small subunit ribosomal RNA", at positions 335 to 566 of the family's 1533-position model. The record is from RNAcentral.